Molecule: long non-coding RNA, 4200 nt
Organism: Equus caballus (horse)
Lineage: Eukaryota; Metazoa; Chordata; Mammalia; Perissodactyla; Equidae
Source: Ensembl
CUUGGGGAAAUGUACUAAAUUUGGGUUGUUUUACUAAAUGGUUUUUGAUUCCUUCAGUUACCAGUGACACAAUCUCCUCUCAGGUUUCUAGGCAUGCUCAUUGUUGGAUGACUGUCUAGACAGAUGGUGAGGUCCCUGAGUGUAGCUAACAUGUAUUGUUGCUGGUCUCAGCGCUACAUCCUUCUGCAGUUUUCUUACGGAAUCCUUUCCCACCCUGUUAAUCACGUCCUCCAGAAAGCUGCUCAAUUAUCUUAUCCCAUCAGUCUCACUCAGCAACCACCAUCAUCAGAAUAAAAUGUAAUGUAGGAGUUACCGUGUGACCCAGCACUUCUGCCCUUAGCUAUAUACCCAAGAGAAUGGAAAUAUGCAUUCACACAAAAACUAGUACACAAAUGUUCACAUUUGUCACAGCCAAAAACUGAGAGCAACCCAAAUGUCCAUCAACAGAUGGAUGAGGAAAAUGUCGUUUAUGGAUAUAAGGGAAUAUUACGCAGACAUAAAACUGAAGGCUAUUUUGAUACCAACUCCUCAUGGAGGACCUUGAGGACACUGCGCUAAGUAAAAUGAGCUAGUCAUGAAAGUAUAAAUUUCGCACGAUUGCUCUACUAUGAGGGUCCUAGAGAAGUCAAAUUCAGAGACAGAAGGGAGAAUGGUGGCUGCCAGGAAUGGGAGGAGAGGGGAAUGGGGAGUUAGUGUUUAAUGGGACAGAGUUUCAGUCGAAGAUGAAAAAGUCCUGGAAGUGGACGGUGCUGAUGGUCGCACAAUAAUGUGAAUGUGCUUACUGUCACAGAACUGUACACUGAAAAGUGGUUAAAAUGGCAAAUGUAAUGCCAUGUAUACUUUCCAAAGUAAAGUAAAAGAAUGAUGUGCUUAUCUACCACAUGGACGAACUUUGAAAACCUCAUGCUAAGUGAAAGGAGCUAGACAUAAAAGGACACAUACUGCAUGAUUCCAUGUAGACUGAAUUUCAAGAGUCAGCAAAUCCAUGGAGACAGAAGCCAGGUUAGUGGUUUAGUAUGGGAGGACGAGGGAUAGGAAGUGACAGCUAACAAGGCCAGGGUUUCUUACUAAGGUGAUAAAAUGUUUUGAAAUUACAUAGUGGUACUGAUUUUUACAACCGUGUGAAUAUAGUAAAACGUUUUCUUUUGAGUACAUUUUUACAAGGUGAAUUUUGGGGCUGGCCCAGUAGCGUAGUGGUCAAGUUCAGCACACUUUGCUUUGUUGGCCCAGGUUCACACGUUUGGAUCCCAGGCAUGGACCUACGCCACUCAACAAGUCAUGCUGUGGUGGUACCCCACAUACACAAUAGAGGAAGGCGUGCACAGAUGUUUGCUCAGGGCCACUCUUCCUCAAGCAAAAAGAGGAAGACUGGCAACAGGUGUUAGCUCAGGGCCAAUCUUCCUCACCAAAAAAACAAAAAACAAACGGUGAAUUUUAUGAUCAUGAAUCUCUCUCAACUUAAAAAGCAACAUAAAAAUUUGCAACAUAAAUUCCUUACCAUCACGGUGCUCUCAUAGGUCAUCAGAGUUUAAUCACAACCCGACAGUGGUGACUGCAGUCAGAAUGACAUCACUGACUUCUAAAACACCAAGUCACAUUAUCUGAAUCUCCCUAGUGGCCUUCGAUGCAUCUAUUCCUAUUCAGGGUUUACCUUACGUACCAGAAGGAACGUAAAAGUGUCAACUAUGUCAUUUGAGUCUUUUUAUCACCCCGAAUACUAAGAUGGCAUGGUCUGGCAUAUCAUAAGCACUUACUAAAAAUCUGAUUAUUUGACCCCAAAUUCUAGUUCUAGACAUUUCUUAAGAAAAUACUGAGAUAAAGAAAUGCAUGUACAAGUAUGUUCAAUACUUAGCUUAUGACAGCCAAAACUAGAAACACAAAAAUCUAACGGAACAGGUUAAUUAACUUGGUUCUGCUAUAUGAUGGCAGGUACAGCAUUAUUAAUCAGGAUGAUACUGGUCCCAGUGUAAAAUACGCACUCAUAACUGGGGAACAGUAUCCAGUUGAAACUUAAGACAUAGAUUCUGUUCUCAGAUUUUCUAAAUGUAACUGCUCUUAGAGUUCAUGGCAUUUUAAUGCCUUGGGUUGUUCAUCAGUAAAACUAAGAGUGUGAAGAUCCCUUACUAAGCAUGAAUAUCUUGGAGAAAUAUAAUCUACAUAAAAACUUAAUAACAUGUUGUAAUCCUAUAUAAAUAUGUUAGAUAUUUUUACUGAAGAACAUUGCAUGCCCUCUAAUUGGGUAUUAUAAAAGAAACAAUUAUUCUUAGAUUAAAAUUGUGCUUAUCAGCCCUGCUCUGAUAAUGCUCACAAAACAAAGGGAAAAAAAAUCAGGACUUUUGCUUGAGAAUGCAUUUUUAAUUCAUAAAUCAAAAGUUUCUAGAAAAGAGGAGGAGGAAAUUUCCCUCCCACCGAAAUGCAGCAGAAUCAAAGAGACAUUUGUGAAUCACAACCUGCCCAAAGAAGCUGAUGUGAUCAAGCGUCUCAUAAGUGAGAACAUCAGUAAGACUCUCAGUGCCCUGAAGCAGCAAAGAAAGACGUUCUUCUUUUGGGAAUGGCAGGACUGAGGAGGAAGUCAGGAGGCACCAGGCUGUUCUUGGGGCACAGAAUGACUUCCUUACACGACACUCUCCAGCCAAGCAGCUGUGAGGAGAGAAGAGGAGGAAGCGCCAGGGAGCCCAGAGCCACCAGACAGUGACGCCACAGAGCCACAGCCAUCACACCCGCACAGACACACACCGUCCUCUGCCGUUCAGGCCCGAGAGUCCCGUGAGGACUGGUGUCCCUACUACCGGCCUCCACGCUGUGAGCGCUUCCGCCGCCACCCCUCCUGGUUCACGUCGGGCUCCGAAUUGACUCGCUUCACAGGAUUCCCGCAUCCUGUGCUAACACAUCCACAAACGAGCUCCACUCACCUUGCGAAGAGGGAGAACCGCGCGAAAACGGAAUGGAAGCCAAAGAGCUGGCGUGACCGCUGCCGUCUGGGAAGUGUCGCUCCAACCUGAACAUCUCUGGGCGCGGCGGCUCGUCCGAAAGGCCACCGAAGCGCGGAAGUCCCGGUGGAACGACAACGCGAGAACCGCCCGGAGCCCAGCCCGAGCGCAGGUCUCUCAGCCAGGAGCGCGACGCGAGGGCGCGUGCGCGGGCACGGAGCCUGAGCGGAGGCCGCUGGUGCGCGUGCUCGGUCCAGAGGCGCCGCUGCGCCCAGGAGGCCGAGCAGGGCGGCCCGGCGCCGGCUCCGAGCGUCCGGCCUGUGCGCGCAGAGCCGCGCGGGAGGUCGGCGGGGCGGCCCCGGGGCGAGAGCGCACGGCGGGUGUGAGCUCUGAGGGCGGGGCCCCGGACGAGUCCCCUCAGGCGGCUGCAGCCUGGCGACAGCAUACGGGGCAAGCAACUCCUGAUCCCGCGGGGGAUGAGCCGGUUUAUUCAGUGUCUGUUAGCUGCGUUUAAAGGGUGUGCAGGAGUGAAGUAAUACAUAUUUACUUAAUUCUUUAGGCUAAGCUGUAAUAGUCAAAAUGGAAUGAAUAAUUAUUUGUAGAAGUUCUGUGGUGAAAAUUAUGUAGAUAUUUUGUAAUAUUGAUUCAGGGACAGAUUUUCCAAGCAUGCCCAAAGAGAGGGAUGUUAUUAAAAUUUUAAGAGUUGACUGGAUAAUUAGUUGUAAUCAUCCUAAUCACUUGAAUGCAAAUCAAUUAAUAAAAGUUAAUCCUAGACAAAGAUUUGAUAGACUUAUUUUUAAAAAAUAUAAUGAGCACACUGAUAAUAAUCUUAAUUCCAUUUUUUCUCAAUAAGAUUGUUGUCAGUAAUCUAAGAGGAAAGGGAAUGGUGAACUGCCAUAUGACCCAGCCAUCCCACUACUGGGUAUCUCUUCAAAGAGCUUGAAGUCAGGAAUUCCCAAAGUCCUAUGCACCCCAAUGUUUAUUGCAGCAUUAUUUACAAUAGCCAAGACAUGGAAACAACCUAAGUGCCCAUCAACAGAUGAAUGGAUAAAGAAGACGUGGUAUAUAUAUAUAUAUACAGUGGAAAACUACUCAGCCAUAAAACAGAACAAAAUCGUCCCAUUUGCAACAACAUGGAUGGACCUUGAGGGAGUUAUGUUAAGUGAAAUAAGCCAGAUAGAGAAGGACAAUCUCUGUAUGACUCCACUCCUAUGAGGAAUUUAAACCUGUGGACAAAGAGAACAGAUUAGUGGCUACCAGGGGAAAGGGG